UACGUAGGGUCCGAGCGUUGUCCGGAAUUAUUGGGCGUAAAGAGCUCGUAGGCGGCAUGUCGCGUCUGCUGUGAAAGACCGGGGCUCAACUUCGGUUUUGCAGUGGAUACGGGCAUGCUAGAGGUAGGUAGGGGAGACUGGAAUUCCUGGUGUAGCGGUGGAAUGCGCAGAUAUCAGGAGGAACACCGGUGGCGAAGGCGGGUCUCUGGGCCUUACCUGACGCUGAGGAGCGAAAGCAUGGGUAGCGAACAGGAUUAGAUACCCCCGUA
Molecule: ribosomal RNA, 269 nt
Filed under: uncultured prokaryote
Description: partial 16S ribosomal RNA
Rfam family: Bacterial small subunit ribosomal RNA
Source: RNAcentral